UACGAAGGGGGCUAGCGUUGUUCGGAAUUACUGGGCGUAAAGGGCGCGUAGGCGGCGCAUCAAGUCAGGCGUGAAAGCCCUGGGCUCAACCCGGGAAUUGCGCUUGAGACUGGUGUGCUUGAGUACGGGAGAGGAUAGUGGAAUUCCCAGUGUAGAGGUGAAAUUCGUAGAUAUUGGGAAGAACACCAGUGGCGAAGGCGGCUAUCUGGACCGUAACUGACGCUGAGGCGCGAAAGCGUGGGGAGCAAACAGG
RNAcentral lists this ribosomal RNA (253 nucleotides) under uncultured bacterium. RNAcentral describes it as "partial 16S ribosomal RNA". It matches the Rfam family "Bacterial small subunit ribosomal RNA", at positions 524 to 776 of the family's 1533-position model. The record is from RNAcentral.